Molecule: ribosomal RNA, 485 nt
Filed under: uncultured bacterium
Lineage: Bacteria
Description: partial 16S ribosomal RNA
Rfam family: Bacterial small subunit ribosomal RNA
Source: RNAcentral
AGUGAACGCUGGCGGCGUGCUUAACACAUGCAAGUCGAACGAGAACGGAAUAUAGCUUGCUAUAUUUGUCAGCUAAGUGGCGCACGGGUGAGUAAUGUAUAGAUAACCUGCCCUUAAGAAAGGAAUAACAGUUGGAAACGACUGCUAAUGCCCUAUAUGCCUUUAAUACAUAAGUAUGCAAGGGAAACGCUUUAGUGCUUAAGGAUGGGUCUGUAUGGUAUCAGCUUGUUGGUGAGGUAAUGGCUCACCAAGGCUAUGACGCCUAACUGGUUUGAGAGGAUGAUCGGUCACACUGGAAUUGAGACACGGUCCAGACUCCUACGGGAGGCAGCAGUGGGGAAUAUUGCACAAUGGACGAAAGUUUGAUGCAGCAACGCCGCGUGGAGGAUGACACAUUUCGGUGCGUAAACUCCUUUUAUAUAGGAAGAUAAUGACGGUACUAUAUGAAUAAGCACCGGCUAACUCCGUGCCAGCCGCCGCCGUAA